CUCAGGAUGAACGCUAGCUACAGGCUUAACACAUGCAAGUCGAGGGGCAGCAUGGUCUUAGCUUGCUAAGGCCGAUGGCGACCGGCGCACGGGUGAGUAACGCGUAUCCAACCUGCCUUACACUCUUGGACAGCCUUCUGAAAGGGAGAUUAAUACAAGAUGUUAUCAUGAGUAAGCAUUUUCGCAUGAUUAAAGGUUUACCGGUGUAAGAUGGGGAUGCGUUCCAUUAGAUAGUAGGCGGGGUAACGGCCCACCUAGUCUUCGAUGGAUAGGGGUUCUGAGAGGAAGGUCCCCCACAUUGGAACUGAGACACGGUCCAAACUCCUACGGGAGGCAGCAGUGAGGAAUAUUGGUCAAUGGACGAGAGUCUGAACCAGCCAAGUAGCGUGAAGGAUGAAGGUUCUAUGGAUUGUAAACUUCUUUUAUACGGGAAUAAACGGAUCCACGUGUGGAUUUUUGCAUGUACCGUAUGAAUAAGGAUCGGCUAACUCCGUGCCAGCAGCCGCGGUAAUACGGAGGAUCCGAGCGUUAUCCGGAUUUAUUGGGUUUAAAGGGAGCGUAGAUGGGUUGUUAAGUCAGUUGUGAAAGUUUGCGGCUCAACCGUAAAAUUGCAAUUGAUACUGGCAGUCUUGAGUACAGUUGAGGUAGGCGGAAUUCGUGGUGUAGCGGUGAAAUGCUUAGAUAUCACGAAGAACUCCGAUUGCGAAGGCAGCUUACUAACCUGUAACUGACAUUGAUGCUCGAAAGUGUGGGUAUCAAACAGGAUUAGAUACCCUGGUAGUCCACACGGUAAACGAUGAAUACUCGCUGUUUGCGAUAUACUGCAAGCGGCCAAGCGAAAGCGUUAAGUAUUCCACCUGGGGAGUACGCCGGCAACGGUGAAACUCAAAGGAAUUGACGGGGGCCCGCACAAGCGGAGGAACAUGUGGUUUAAUUCGAUGAUACGCGAGGAACCUUACCCGGGCUUAAAUUGCAGAUGAAUUACGGUGAAAGCCGUAAGCCGCAAGGCAUCUGUGAAGGUGCUGCAUGGUUGUCGUCAGCUCGUGCCGUGAGGUGUCGGCUUAAGUGCCAUAACGAGCGCAACCCUUGUUGUCAGUUACUAACAGGUUCCGCUGAGGACUCUGACAAGACUGCCAUCGUAAGAUGUGAGGAAGGUGGGGAUGACGUCAAAUCAGCACGGCCCUUACGUCCGGGGCUACACACGUGUUACAAUGGGGGGUACAGAGGGCCGCUACCACGCGAGUGGAUGCCAAUCCCCAAAACCUCUCUCAGUUCGGACUGGAGUCUGCAACCCGACUCCACGAAGCUGGAUUCGCUAGUAAUCGCGCAUCAGCCACGGCGCGGUGAAUACGUUCCCGGGCCUUGUACACACCGCCCGUCAAGCCAUGGGAGCCGGGGGUACCUGAAGUGCGUAACCGCGAGGAGCGCCCUAGGGUAAAACUGGUGACUGGGGCUAAGUCGUA
Molecule: ribosomal RNA, 1463 nt
Filed under: uncultured bacterium
Lineage: Bacteria
Description: bacterial SSU rRNA
Rfam family: Bacterial small subunit ribosomal RNA
Source: RNAcentral